CAAUAACGUAUAUUAAAGUUGUUGCAGUUAAAAAGCUCGUAGUUGGAUAUCUGACGAGAGUUGACGGCCCGCCUUCGGGAUGAGCGCUGGAUUCUCGAGUCUAUCUUUCGGUUGUUAGCCUUUCCCUUCAUUGGGCGAGGUCUAGUAUCCGGAUCAGUUACUUUGAAUAAAAACGGGUGUUCAACGCAGGCUUAUGCCUUGAAGUAUGCAGCAUGGAAUAGCAACCAUAGGACUAUAGUGUUCUAUUCAGUUGGUUCUGGGACCUUAGUAAUGAUUGAUAGGGACAGUUGGGGGUGCUGCUAUUCCGCGGCCAGAGGUGAAAUUCUCAGAUUCCCGGAAGAGCAACUUAUGCGAAAGCAUUCACCAAGGAUGUCUUCUUUA
RNAcentral lists this ribosomal RNA (381 nucleotides) under uncultured eukaryote. RNAcentral describes it as "partial 18S ribosomal RNA". It matches the Rfam family "Eukaryotic small subunit ribosomal RNA", at positions 592 to 975 of the family's 1831-position model. The record is from RNAcentral.